AUGCUUGUUGAAACAAAAAGGCAUCUUCUCUAUGGUUUGGUCUACUUUCUUAUCAAAUUGGUAUUGAUCGUACCGGUGGCCAUGAUGAGUAUUGAAACAUUAUUUUUGGCAAUGAAUCUGGUGAAUAACAAGUUCAGACAUAACAUGGGUGAUGAUCUCAUGAACUAUUAUUUAGUGACAUUUAUUGAGUGA
RNAcentral lists this ribosomal RNA (192 nucleotides) under Triticum aestivum (bread wheat). RNAcentral describes it as "partial small subunit ribosomal RNA". The record is from RNAcentral. Lineage: Eukaryota; Viridiplantae; Streptophyta; Magnoliopsida; Poales; Poaceae.